Molecule: small nuclear RNA, 22 nt
Filed under: Arabidopsis thaliana (thale cress)
Lineage: Eukaryota; Viridiplantae; Streptophyta; Magnoliopsida; Brassicales; Brassicaceae
Description: snRNA_06382
Source: RNAcentral
AUUACCAAUGUAGAUGGUCUAA